UACGUAGGGUGCGAGCGUUAAUCGGAAUUACUGGGCGUAAAGCGUGCGUAGGCGGUUCGUUAAGUUCGUUGUGAAAGCCCCGGGCUCAACCUGGGAAUGGCAAUGGAAACUGGCGGGCUGGAGUAUGGCAGAGGGGGGUGGAAUUCCGCGUGUAGCAGUGAAAUGCGUAGAGAUGCGGAGGAACACCGAUGGCGAAGGCAGCCCCCUGGGCCAAUACUGACGCUGAGGCGCGAAAGCGUGGGGAGCAAACAGG
RNAcentral lists this ribosomal RNA (253 nucleotides) under uncultured bacterium. Its description in RNAcentral is "partial 16S ribosomal RNA". It matches the Rfam family "Bacterial small subunit ribosomal RNA", at positions 524 to 776 of the family's 1533-position model. The record is from RNAcentral.